UGCCUACGGGGGGCAGCAGUGGGGAAUAUUGGGCAAUGGACGCAAGUCUGACCCAGCAACGCCGCGUGAAGGAAGAAGGCUUUCGGGUUGUAAACUUCUUUUAAGGGGGAAGAGCAGAAGACGGUACCCCUUGAAUAAGCCACGGCUAACUACGUGCCAGCAGCCGCGGUAAUACGUAGGUGGCAAGCGUUGUCCGGAUUUACUGGCUGUAACGGGCGUGCAGCCAGGCAGACAAGCCAGA
RNAcentral lists this ribosomal RNA (241 nucleotides) under uncultured bacterium. Its description in RNAcentral is "partial 16S ribosomal RNA". It matches the Rfam family "Bacterial small subunit ribosomal RNA", at positions 335 to 592 of the family's 1533-position model. The record is from RNAcentral.